CAGCAAUCAGACGGGCAGGUUCAAUUUGCCGUUUGUGCAGUGUUUGUCCCCCCAGCGCAUUGAAAUCAAAACUAAAUUCUAAAUCGGCAAAAAUUCGUGUCUAAUCAUUUUAUAAAAGAGAAAUAAACCCUAUUUGCUACCCUUCCUCGUACACACCAAACCAUAAAGCAAAAUUACAAGAAAAUUACAAGCAAAAUAACGCUCGUGUUUCAAAAGUGUUCAAAUUAUACAAUUGUGUGAUCGAACGACCACCACCAUUUCCCCCCAGUGACCAAAACAUCAAGUGCUUCGAAAGAAAACGGUGAAUGCAAUUGUGACUACCGAUCACAGUCAAUAUAACAGAAGGAAAGGAGCCAAUACAGUGCCAGCGAGUGAAGCUGAAGGAAAGAAGCAACAGAAAUACAAACAGAAUCAAUUGAAAUUGCAGCUGGAGCAGAAGGAAGAAACUGCAGCAGGAGCAGCAACAAAAAAACCAGCUUCAAAUAAAAUAAAAAGAAAUCAGCAACUAAACACAGAAACGAGCAACAUCUGAAACUUCAAAAAAACAGCA
Molecule: long non-coding RNA, 550 nt
Organism: Drosophila obscura
Lineage: Eukaryota; Metazoa; Arthropoda; Insecta; Diptera; Drosophilidae
Exons: 3
Source: RefSeq, a predicted model, not a curated record